This 253-nucleotide ribosomal RNA is filed under the name uncultured bacterium. RNAcentral's name for it is "partial 16S ribosomal RNA". It matches the Rfam family "Bacterial small subunit ribosomal RNA", at positions 524 to 776 of the family's 1533-position model. The record is from RNAcentral.
UACGUAGGGUGCAGGCGUUAUUCGGAAUUACUGGGCGUAAAGCGUGCGCAGGCGGUUUGUUAAGUCAGGUGUGAAAUCCCCGGGCUUAACCUGGGAACUGCGCUUGUUACUGGCAAGCUGGAGUGUGGCAGAGGGGGGUGGAAUUCCACGUGUAGCAGUGAAAUGCGUAGAGAUGUGGAGGAACACCGAUGGCGAAGGCAGCCCCCUGGGCUAACACUGACGCUCAUGCACGAAAGCGUGGGGAGCAAACAGG